Molecule: long non-coding RNA, 1226 nt
Organism: Perognathus longimembris pacificus (Pacific pocket mouse)
Lineage: Eukaryota; Metazoa; Chordata; Mammalia; Rodentia; Heteromyidae
Exons: 6
Source: RefSeq, a predicted model, not a curated record
CAGAAGUUGUCAGAAGUUAAAAGGAAUGUCUCAGGAGUAAGAAAACCUUGACUAUCUGGAAGUAAGAAAAGAUACCGAUGAUUAAAUAAAUCUGCUAAAGAAUAAGAACAGAAAACCAAGAGUCAUGCUUAGUUUUCAGUCCAGUAAGAAUACAGAUAUGACAUUUUGAUUUUUUUUUCCAUUAAUAAGCUCUCCUUUAAAUUUAUCACAGGCUCUGUUACUGUCAAGGUCCCAUCUUCUCCUCAAACCUAUUUACAGUUAUCAGGAAAAGAGGUUGAUAUGAACCCAGAAGUCAAUGUUCAGGAAGUGGCUGAAGAUGAUAAAGAUGAUGGUGUAACAAUUAUUGAUCAGGUCUCCUUCUGGCUGCGCUGGACCUGCGCACGCGGGGGACUUCCGCAUCGGGCCCUCCAGCCUCCCGCAGCGUCCCGCAGCGCCCUGGCGGGCAGCAGCCUGGGUGGUAGCGGCGCGCUUGGUGCUCGGCGCCAGCACCUGCUACUGCCAUCUACAGGCUGAGGCGGGGCCCGCGGCGAGGCGGCCGGGGGCAUCGGCUGAGCCCCUCUGGAUCUGCAGGCUCUGUUACUGUCAAGGUCCCAUCUUCUCCUCAAACCUAUUUACAGUUAUCAGGAAAAGAGGUUGAUAUGAACCCAGAAGUCAAUGUUCAGGAAGUGGCUGAAGAUGAUAAAGAUGAUGGUGUAACAAUUAUUGGAGGAAGAAAGAGAAUAUACAGAUAUCAGAAAGAAGUAUAUCUAACUUGUAAAUGAAGCUGUUUUGAAAUCAGAAAGGCUUUCCUGGGAAGUUGGUUUGAAUGACAAGACUGUACUAAAAACAAAAUGACUGGUGACCAGUUUUCCUGUCUGGGCUUUAGAAACAAGUUUCUGGCUGAAGCGAAACUACAGUGUAACCCACUGGCUGUCAUUUCACGUGGACCCAUGGAGCAAGAAGUCGUUGACUCAUCACCUUCUAUCACCCCAAGAGCUACAGAUCAAAGAUUUAUCAACUGAGUCCUUGUAAGCCCUCUGCCAAGACCACCAGAAAAGUGAGUUUUCCUUUCCCUUCCUUGGGUUCACAUUGACAGGUGAAUGAUUUCCAUUUUGAUCAAAGCUACUGUCUACUCCUUUACAUCUGACCUCUUAACUGUGUGUACACAGAAGGCAUCAAAGGGACAGCUGGAAAUCAGACAUGUCACUGUGUUAGUGUGUACCUAUGUGAACAUUAUGGUUAACACA